UUCCUGGUGGUCCAAGGGCUAAGACUUUGAGCUACUAAUUCAGGGGGCCUGGGUUUGAUCCCUGGUCAGGAAA
RNAcentral lists this transfer RNA (73 nucleotides) under Ovis aries (sheep). It matches the Rfam family "tRNA". Rfam says of the family: Transfer RNA (tRNA) molecules are approximately 80 nucleotides in length. The record is from Rfam by way of RNAcentral. Lineage: Eukaryota; Metazoa; Chordata; Mammalia; Artiodactyla; Bovidae.